AUUCUUAGCUGGGAGGCUCCCCUGAUCAAAAGGUAAUUUUCCCAAUGUGAGGCUAUCUUUUGCAUGUUGGUUUUGCCAACACCUAUAGCAUCCCACAUGUGGGGAAAUCAGCUUCAGAAUUUGUGGUAGUGAGGGCAAGAUGUUUCUCA
This is a small nuclear RNA of Cricetulus griseus (Chinese hamster), 149 nucleotides long. Its record names the gene U1. It matches the Rfam family "U1 spliceosomal RNA". Rfam says of the family: U1 is a small nuclear RNA (snRNA) component of the spliceosome (involved in pre-mRNA splicing). Its 5' end forms complementary base pairs with the 5' splice junction, thus defining the 5' donor site of an intron. The record is from Ensembl. NCBI's taxonomy places the organism in Eukaryota, Metazoa, Chordata, Mammalia, Rodentia, Cricetidae.